GGUUAAGUUAACAAGGGCGCAUGGUGAAUGCCUUGGCACUAGGAGCCGAUGAAGGACGGGACUAACACCGAUAUGCUUCGGGGAGCUGUACGUAAGCUAUGAUCCGGAGAUUUCCGAAUGGGGCAACCCAGCAGUUUUAAUCAACUGUUACCACUAGAUGAAUUCAUAGUCUAGUUGGAGGUAAACGCUGUGAACUGAAACAUCUCAUUAGCAGCAGGAAUAUAAAGAAAUUUCGAUUCCCUAAGUAGCGGCGAGCGAACGGGGAACAGCCCAAACCAAAGUGCUUGCACUUUGGGGUUGUAGGACUGAACAUUUGAGUUACCAAAGAACUUGAUAGUCGAAGGAUUUGGGAAAAUCCGCCAUAGAUGGUGAUAGCCCAGUAGAUUAAAUCAAAUUCUCUCAGUUCAGGAUCCUGAGUACGACGGAACACGUGAAAUUCCGUCGGAAUCCGGGAGGACCAUCUCCCAAGGCUAAAUACUACCUAGUGACCGAUAGUGAACCAGUACCGUGAGGGAAAGGUGAAAAGCACCCCGGGAGGGGAGUGAAAUAGUUCCUGAAACCAUGUGCCUACAAUAAGUCAGAGCGCGUUAAUGCGUGAUGGCGUGCCUUUUGUAGAAUGAACCGGCGAGUUAUGAUCCCGUGCAAGGUUAAGACUAAAAAGUCGGAGCCGUAGCGAAAGCGAGUCUGAAAUGGGCGUUUUGAGUACGAGGUUAUAGACCCGAAACCAGGUGACCUAUCCAUGUCCAGGUUGAAGGUGCGGUAAAACGCACUGGAGGACCGAACCCGUGUAAGUUGAAAAUUGCUGGGAUGAGGUGUGGAUAGCGGUGAAAUUCCAAACGAACUUGGAGAUAGCUGGUUCUCUCCGAAAUAGCUUUAGGGCUAGCCUCGGAAUUAGGAUCAUGGAGGUAGAGCACUAUUUGGACUAGGGGCCCGUCUUGGGUUACUGAAUUCAGAUAAACUCCGAAUGCCAUUGAUUCAUAUCCGGGAGUCAGACGAUGAGUGAUAAGAUCCACCGUCGAAAGGGGAACAGCCCAGACCAUCAGUUAAGGUCCCUAAAUGUAUGCUAAGUGGAAAAGGAUGUGGAGUUGCAUAGACAACUAGGAUGUUGGCUCAGAAGCAGCCACCAUUUAAAGAGUGCGUAAUAGCUCACUAGUCGAGUGAUCCUGCGCCGAAAAUGUACCGGGGCUAAGCAUACUACCGAAACCAUGGAUGCGACCAUUAGGUCGCGUGAUAGGAGAGCGUUCUAAGGGCGGUGAAGCAAGAUCGUGAGGACUUGUGGAGCGCUUAGAAGUGAGAAUGCCGGUAUGAGUAGCGAAAGAUAGGUGAGAAUCCUAUCCACCGAAUGACUAAGGUUUCCUGGGGAAGGCUCGUCCUCCCAGGGUUAGUCGGGACCUAAGUCGAGGCCGAGAGGCGUAGACGAUGGAUAACAGGUUGAGAUUCCUGUACUAGUUAAGUGCGUUUGAGCAAUGGAGGGACGCAGGAGGCUAAGAUGUGCAUUCUGUUGGAUUAGAAUGUCCAAGCAGUAAGUCUUGUGAAGAGUCAAAUGCUUUUCACUUUAAGGACAAGCUGUGAUGGGGAGCGAAAUUUAGUAGCGAAGCGUCUGAUGUCACACUGCCGAGAAAAGCUUCUAGUGAGUACUUAACUACCCGUACCGCAAACCGACACAGGUAGUCGAGGAGAGAAUCCUAAGGUGAGCGAGUGAACUCUCGUUAAGGAACUCGGCAAAAUGACCCCGUAACUUCGGGAGAAGGGGUGCUGAUCGCAAGAUCAGCCGCAGUGAAUAGGCCCAGGCGACUGUUUAUCAAAAACACAGGUCUCUGCAAAAUCGUAAGAUGACGUAUAGGGGCUGACGCCUGCCCGGUGCUGGAAGGUUAAAAGGAUGGGUUAGCUUCGGCGAAGCUCAGAAUUGAAGCCCCAGUAAACGGCGGCCGUAACUAUAACGGUCCUAAGGUAGCGAAAUUCCUUGUCGGGUAAGUUCCGACCCGCACGAAAGGCGUAACGAUCUGGGCACUGUCUCAACGAGAGACUCGGUGAAAUUAUAUUGUCCGUGAAGAUGCGGACUACCCGCGACAGGACGGAAAGACCCCAUGGAGCUUUACUGUAGCUUGAUAUUGAGUGUUUGUACAGCUUGUACAGGAUAGGUAGGAGCCAUAGAAACCGGAACGCUAGUUUCGGUGGAGGCGUUGGUGGGAUACUACCCUCGCUGUAUGACCACUCUAACCCGCACCACUAAUCGUGGUGGGAGACAGUGUCAGGUGGGCAGUUUGACUGGGGCGGUCGCCUCCUAAAAAGUAACGGAGGCGCCCAAAGGUUCCCUCAGAAUGGUUGGAAAUCAUUCGCAGAGUGUAAAGGCACAAGGGAGCUUGACUGCGAGACAGACAGGUCGAGCAGGGACGAAAGUCGGGCUUAGUGAUCCGGUGGUACCGUAUGGAAGGGCCAUCGCUCAACGGAUAAAAGCUACCCUGGGGAUAACAGGCUUAUCUCCCCCAAGAGUCCACAUCGACGGGGAGGUUUGGCACCUCGAUGUCGGCUCAUCGCAUCCUGGGGCUGUAGUCGGUCCCAAGGGUUGGGCUGUUCGCCCAUUAAAGCGGUACGCGAGCUGGGUUCAGAACGUCGUGAGACAGUUCGGUCCCUAUCCGUCGCGGGCGUAGGAAAUUUGAGAGGACCUGUCCUUAGUACGAGAGGACCGGGAUGGACAUACCUCUGGUGUACCAGUUGUGCCGCCAGGCGCAUCGCUGGGUAGCUACGUAUGGAUGUGAUAAACGCUGAAAGCAUCUAAGUGUGAAACACACCUCGAGAUGAGAUUUCCCAUUCCUUUAUGGAAGUAAGACCCCUGAAAGAUGAUCAGGUAGAUAGGUUAGAAGUGGCAGUGCGGUGACGCAUGAAGCGGACUAAUACUAAUCGGUCGAGGACUUAACCAA
RNAcentral lists this ribosomal RNA (2921 nucleotides) under Lactiplantibacillus plantarum. RNAcentral's name for it is "23S ribosomal RNA". It matches the Rfam family "Bacterial large subunit ribosomal RNA". Lineage: Bacteria; Bacillati; Bacillota; Bacilli; Lactobacillales; Lactobacillaceae. The record is from RNAcentral.